GAACUGAAGAGUUUGAUCCUGGCUCAGAUUGAACGCUGGCGGCAUGCUUUACACAUGCAAGUCGAACGGCAGCACGGGCUUCGGCCUGGUGGCGAGUGGCGAACGGGUGAGUAAUACAUCGGAACGUACCCAGAAGUGGGGGAUAACGCAGCGAAAGUUGCGCUAAUACCGCAUACGUUCUACGGAAGAAAGUGGGGGAUCUUCGGACCUCA
This is a non-coding RNA of Massilia sp. LC238, 212 nucleotides long. The record is from Rfam. Lineage: Bacteria; Pseudomonadati; Pseudomonadota; Betaproteobacteria; Burkholderiales; Oxalobacteraceae.